AUUGAUGUAGACACUCUGCGAGCACUAAUUGAAAGCAAAGGUCUGAGUAUAUUGAAGGAUUAUGAAGCUUCAGGAAUGCUUUCAGAGACAUCAAGAAAAGUCCUUGUGAAGAUAGGUGUCAGUGCGUUGGUGGAACAAAGUGGAUUUUACCCUUGUAAUGAUGAGAAGCGGAUGUUGGCAGAAAGUGUAGUAACACUGUUUCCUUCUCUGAAGAUCAAGAUGGGAGAAGAGAAUGAAGGAUUUGAACAUUUCUAUGACCCAGUCUCCCACAGUGGAUUUAUUGAGAUGAGACUUA
Long non-coding RNA from Puntigrus tetrazona (Sumatra barb), 295 nucleotides. RefSeq lists it as uncharacterized. NCBI's taxonomy places the organism in Eukaryota, Metazoa, Chordata, Actinopteri, Cypriniformes, Cyprinidae. The transcript is spliced from 3 exons. The record is from RefSeq and is a predicted model, not a curated record.